GGCCGGAGCAAGCGUUGAUUCGGAUUUACUGGGCGUAAAGGGCGCGCUACGCGGCCACCGAAAGUCGACUGCUGAAAUCUCCGGGUUUAACCCGGAAAGGUCAUCCAAUACUGCGGGGUUAAAUCGCGUAAGGGGCAACUGGAAUUCUCGGUGUACCGGUGAAAUGCGUAAAUAUCGAGAGGAACACCUGGGGGGAAGGCGGGUUGUUGGGCUGACACUGACCCUGAGGCGCAAAACCUAGGGGAGCGAACGGAUAUUAAAUACCCCGGUAUCCCUAGCCUUAAACAAUGAAAGCUUGGUUGUCUGGGGUUUUAUACUCCCCGGCUGCCGUCGCUAACUCUUUACGCAUUCCUCCUGAGGAGUACGGUCGCAAGACUG
Molecule: ribosomal RNA, 378 nt
Filed under: uncultured bacterium
Lineage: Bacteria
Description: bacterial SSU rRNA
Rfam family: Bacterial small subunit ribosomal RNA
Source: RNAcentral